GCGUUGGUGGUUCAGGGGUAGAAUUCCCACCUUCCACGUGGAAGACCCAGGUUCCAUUCCCGGCCAGUGCA
This 71-nucleotide transfer RNA is filed under the name Loxodonta africana (African savanna elephant). It matches the Rfam family "tRNA". Rfam says of the family: Transfer RNA (tRNA) molecules are approximately 80 nucleotides in length. Their secondary structure includes four short double-helical elements and three loops (D, anti-codon, and T loops). Lineage: Eukaryota; Metazoa; Chordata; Mammalia; Proboscidea; Elephantidae. The record is from Rfam by way of RNAcentral.